AGCUACGGGUGUCACUUAGGUGACGCGGUAGAGGAGCGUUCUGUAAGCCUGUGAAGGUGAGUUGAGAAGCUUGCUGGAGGUAUCAGAAGUGCGAAUGCUGACAUGAGUAACGACAAUGGGAGUGAAAAACUCCCACGCCGAAAGACCAAGGUUUCCUGCGCAACGUUAAUCGACGCAGGGUUAGUCGGUCCCUAAGGCGAGGCUGAAAAGCGUAGUCGAUGGAAAACAGGUUAAUAUUCCUGUACUUCUAGUUAUUGCGAUGGAGGGACGGAGAAGGCUAGGCCAGCUUGGCGUUGGUUGUCCAAGUUUAAGGUGGUAGGCUGAGAUCUUAGGUAAAUCCGGGAUCUUAAGGCCGAGAGCUGAUGACGAGUUGCCUUUAGGCGACGAAGUGGUUGAUGCCAUGCUUCCAAGAAAAGCUUCUAAGCUUCAGAUAACUAGGAACCGUACCCCAAACCGACACAGGUGGUUGGGUAGAGAAUACCAAGGCGCUUGAGAGAACUCGGGUGAAGGAACUAGGCAAAAUGGCACCGUAACUUCGGGAGAAGGUGCGCCGGUGAGGGUGAAGGACUUGCUCCGUAAGCCCAUGCCGGUCGAAGAUACCAGGCCGCUGCGACUGUUUAUUAAAAACACAGCACUCUGCAAACACGAAAGUGGACGUAUAGGGUGUGACGCCUGCCCGGUGCCGGAAGGUUAAUUGAUGGGGUUAGCUAACGCGAAGCUCUUGAUCGAAGCCCCGGUAAACGGCGGCCGUAACUAUAACGGUCCUAAGGUAGCGAAAUUCCUUGUCGGGUAAGUUCCGACCUGCACGAAUGGCGUAACGAUGGCGGCGCUGUCUCCACCCGAGACUCAGUGAAAUUGAAAUCGCUGUGAAGAUGCAGUGUAUCCGCGGCUAGACGGAAAGACCCCGUGAACCUUUACUAUAGCUUUGCACUGGACUUUGAAUUUGCUUGUGUAGGAUAGGUGGGAGGCUUUGAAGCGUGGACGCCAGUUCGCGUGGAGCCAUCCUUGAAAUACCACCCUGGCAACUUUGAGGUUCUAACUCAGGUCCGUUAUCCGGAUCGAGGACAGUGUAUGGUGGGUAGUUUGACUGGGGCGGUCUCCUCCUAAAGAGUAACGGAGGAGUACGAAGGUGCGCUCAGACCGGUCGGAAAUCGGUCGUAGAGUAUAAAGGCAAAAGCGCGCUUGACUGCGAGACAGACACGUCGAGCAGGUACGAAAGUAGGUCUUAGUGAUCCGGUGGUUCUGUAUGGAAGGGCCAUCGCUCAACGGAUAAAAGGUACUCCGGGGAUAACAGGCUGAUACCGCCCAAGAGUUCAUAUCGACGGCGGUGUUUGGCACCUCGAUGUCGGCUCAUCACAUCCUGGGGCUGAAGCCGGUCCCAAGGGUAUGGCUGUUCGCCAUUUAAAGUGGUACGCGAGCUGGGUUUAGAACGUCGUGAGACAGUUCGGUCCCUAUCUGCCGUGGACGUUUGAGAUUUGAGAGGGGCUGCUCCUAGUACGAGAGGACCGGAGUGGACGAACCUCUGGUGUUCCGGUUGUCACGCCAGUGGCAUUGCCGGGUAGCUAUGUUCGGAAGAGAUAACCGCUGAAAGCAUCUAAGCGGGAAACUUGCCUCAAGAUGAGAUCUCACUGGAGCCUUGAGCUCCCUGAAGGGCCGUCGAAGACUACGACGUUGAUAGGUUGGGUGUGUAAGCGCUGUGAGGCGUUGAGCUAACCAAUACUAAUUGCCCGUGAGGCUUGACCAU
RNAcentral lists this ribosomal RNA (1744 nucleotides) under Pseudomonas sp. JV241A. RNAcentral describes it as "ribosomal RNA 23s_rRNA". It matches the Rfam family "Bacterial large subunit ribosomal RNA", at positions 1198 to 2925 of the family's 2925-position model. Lineage: Bacteria; Pseudomonadati; Pseudomonadota; Gammaproteobacteria; Pseudomonadales; Pseudomonadaceae. The record is from RNAcentral.